GUUCUUUGCGUACACCUGGUCACAAUAGUGUCUUCAAGCAUGAAUACAAAAGAAUGAAUUUUACCGACAAAGCUGAAACUGAAAGAAGAUGGCCUAUAAAGCUUGUAACAAAUGUUGGAAUUGGAGCAGCAAUAGAAUCAAUCAUCCUAUUCACAGAUAUAUUUAACAUUGCAAAUUAUGUGUCCAAGGGCGUCCUCUGUACAUCACUUGAGACUGAUCCCUCAAAUAAUUAGGGGGAAUUACACAGGACUUUUGAUGCAGGUGGAUAUUUUACCUUUGGAAUGAAGAAACUCUAUAUCUACUUGGACAUGCUAGUCAUCCAAAAUUUAUUCAGCACCCAUCCA
Long non-coding RNA from Rhodamnia argentea, 344 nucleotides. RefSeq lists it as uncharacterized. NCBI's taxonomy places the organism in Eukaryota, Viridiplantae, Streptophyta, Magnoliopsida, Myrtales, Myrtaceae. The record is from RefSeq and is a predicted model, not a curated record. The transcript is spliced from 2 exons.